This 253-nucleotide ribosomal RNA is filed under the name uncultured bacterium. Its description in RNAcentral is "partial 16S ribosomal RNA". It matches the Rfam family "Bacterial small subunit ribosomal RNA", at positions 524 to 776 of the family's 1533-position model. The record is from RNAcentral.
GACGUAGGGGGCCAGCGUUGUUCGGAAUUACUGGGUGUAAAGGGUUCGUAGGCGGUGCGGCAAGUUGGGAGUGAAAUCUCUGGGCUUAACCCAGAGGCUGCUUCCGAAACUGCUGUGCUUGAGUGUGGGAGAGGCGCGUGGAAUUGCAGGUGUAGCGGUGAAAUGCGUAGAUAUCUGCAGGAACACCCGUGGCGAAAGCGGCGCGCUGGACCACUACCGACGCUGAGGAACGAAAGCUAGGGGAGCAAACAGG